UGGUUUGAUGAAUUUCGUUAUUUUUAUGGGAUUCUUGACCACUAUCUCUUAAAAUAUUUCUUCCGCCCUGUUCUCUCACUCUUCUUCUCUUGUCCAGAAGACGGAUCUGAGGACCCAUCCCCACACAGCCAUCAGUUACCUUCUGUGUGCCUGCACUGUGGAGGAAGCCUUUCUCCCGGCUCCUGCCUGCCUGUCAUCCUCCUCAGGAGCAUCCAGGGGAAGGCUUGUGAGUGAGGGAGCACAGACUGCCCUGUGUCUGGAGCACCCAACUGUUUUGGAGCGAUGCACUAGCCCACACGGGGCCGUCGGCAGUUGGUUAAAACCUAAGCUUAUUUCUCGUUCCCCACUUGCACCUGCUGGCCCUCUCUCCCAUGCUCUACUCCAGGUGACACCGUGAGUGAGUUCCAUCUCUCCUCACAAGGCCUUAACUCUUUGGAAUUCUGGUAGUUAGCUGCCUUGUGAUCUCAGCUCUCUGAUGGGUUUGAGAAAAACUGAUUGCGUAGCAGGUUAAGAUGGGGUAAUAUUUAUAGCUUUCUUCAUCCCAAGCGGAAGUGGCAUCUCCACUGGUUACACUUUGAAUUCAUGACUCCAUACUCUUUCCUGCUGCUGGGCAAUCCCACUCCAUCUCUCUGGUGUAAUCAUUCUCUCAUUCUCCUGGAUGACUGCUUCAGUUUUCCCUCUCUCCUCCUGCAAACUCACUCUCAGCUGAUGAAUUUGCUUCCCAUUUCACUGUAAAAGCAAAAGCAACCUUCCACCAACUCUCACUAUGACACCUACCCAUCUACCUGUGUCUACCCUCUGCCUUCCCUCCUGUUAGAGGAUGAACAGCCAAUGAUCCUAGCAGAGAACCACACCCUUAUUUGUCCAUCAGACAAUUCCCAUAGUCUCUCAUCUACUCAAAGAUGUCUCUCCAGCAUUUCUCUUCUCCCUCUCUGGUCAUCAACUUUCCCUCUCUGCCUCAAACAGCAAACUCUGCUCCCUUCUAAACUUGUCUAGGUAUACAAUAUAACAGAACCCUAUAUUUAUGUAUUUUACUUUCCCAUCAUGGUUAUGUCGGACUUUAUUGCCAUUUAUAAAAAUGGAGGCGGGCCUAAUAAGCUUCCUUUGCACUUUUCUAAUUCUUUCAAAUUCUAUUCCUGUAGACUCCUUCAACUUGGCGUGCAAAUCGCUGAAAAUACUCGUGCUGCCAGCAGAGGGCGCCCUCAUUGUGCCCAUGCUCCGUCCAGGAAGUGCAUAGUGGAGUCCAAAGGAGAUUUGGUCUGGGAAACAUUUGCCCGGGGUUUCUGGUUAUCAUAUUUCCCCAACAGGCACCUGUUUGACUGGCAUUUCCUGGCUCACACCCAUCUUAGCAUAUUUCUUUGUUGGUUGAUUGGCUUGAAGGAAGGUUUCAGUAAUUCAUUACUUCACAUCAUCAGCAGAGCGGAACCCCAUAAGCAAUUAACCCUUCACAAGCUGAGUCACCGGACUUUGGAUAAUACAGGAUUAGACCAUUUAGCUGAAGCAGCUCAAGUCUGUAAAUAUGCAUGGGUUUCUGGAGCCUUUGGCAAUGCCUUAUAUGGAUUUCCUGAAUCAUCAGCAGAACACAGAGAGUCUGGCUCUCCCCACCACCCUGCUGCUGGUGUGUAGCUGUAUCAGAGACAUUGCCUGGGAAGACCACGUGGGACCAGCUGUGUCUGAAACUCUGCUGAUUCUCAGAGGUAACCUGAUUCUUCUGCUUGAGUGGCUUCACGAAGCAGCGAACACUUUUCCUGUCCAUUGUUGAACCCCUCAUGCCUAACCCAGUGCCUAGAACACAGGCUCGUCAUAGAUGUGUGGAAUGAAUGGAUGAAAGAAAACAACGAAGAGCCAGUUGUCGGUGGAGGAUCCCAAAGGAGCAGUUCCGCCUUCAUGUUGAAGACUUUCUUUGCCCUGCAUGUUGUAACCACAUAAAGCUAGCUGGGAGCCACGUGGCUGCCCUCAUUGUUGCUCCUUGGCAAUGUUCUCUCUGUGCCAGGCAUCAAACAUGAGCCCCUCAGUGGGAUCCCUGCCCUGUGUGCGCCCCAAUACCUGGACACUUCCUGGAUGCUCCAAGAGGAUGGAGAUUUGCCCCUCCCGACUUUCCCAUGAUUAAUGUUUGUCCGUAGCCUUGUCACAACCAACCUUGGGAGUGUUGCUGGGUUCUGGUGGGGGUCCCUCCUGAGAGAGGCCUUUCUAUUCUGUGAGGUGAAUUGAAGGCUGUCAAACCUUUCGCUCAAACUGGUCUCAUCUGCAUCAAGUCGUACAGAAAUUCCUUGAAAUGUCUGGUAUGUGGGUGGAAUCCUUUUUCAGUUUUGAAGAAUGACAGAUUUUCCCCUAUCAUUAUUUUCCUUUGGCUGUGUCAAUGGGAGUUUGGAAGAGAGACAGGAUGGGAAGUUCAAUGUGAGGAUUUGAAUGCCUGUCACAGAAUAGAAGUCUGUCCUUGUACUUUUCCUAGUCUCUUUAGACAAAGUCCCCUCCACCUUAUAGCCCUAUGUAUGUAUAGCCCUAUGUAUGUAUGUAU
RNAcentral lists this long non-coding RNA (2518 nucleotides) under Equus asinus (donkey). Its description in RNAcentral is "lncRNA (ENSEASG00005030859.1)". The record is from RNAcentral. Lineage: Eukaryota; Metazoa; Chordata; Mammalia; Perissodactyla; Equidae.